UUGUUUACCUUCCAAAAAUUAGCUUUCAUUUUUUCUCUUGGGACACAAUGGGGUCAGUACGUUUCCUCAGGAUAGCUUCUAUUUCUCUGUGUUGGUUUUAAACGUAUAUCAAUUAAAGUUUUGAUCUCUUAUCUCUUCUGUGAAAUUAGACUGUACACAAUUGAAUAUGACUGCUCUUCAUAGUCUGCUGUUCUAGCAUAGCCAUAAAAUGUAUCAAUGUAUGUGUAUAUAUGAAUAACUAUUUGAUGACAGACAUGUUGUAUAUUUAAGCAGCCAUGUCAAAACUUUAAAGGUAGAUGGCUUCAAAAGUAACAGCAUAAUCAUACUUGCAAACCAUUUUACAGAUAAACCAUGGCCUCAGCCCAGAUCUCUUAUCCUUAUCAGUACUCUGGCAACCACUCUUUCUUUUAAGACCCCGGAACACAGUUGUUUUUCAGCUGCUUUUUUUCUUCUCGCCAAGAUAUAUUUGCAUAAUGAUGACUACCUGUAACUCAAUCUUCACCAUCCAUCUCACAGCAAAGCAACCUUGGCACUGUGCCUCUGAGUUGUAUCUUCAUCGGUCUGAACCUGUGUCGCAUUGCGCACAGCAGGCGAGGUCUGCUAAUUCUGAGAGACUGAACAUUCCAUAGCUGGUACUGUGACUGUGCCCCACUGUUCAGAACAACCUUUUUUCAUGCAGUUUAUCUCCCACGUGUGCUCCGAGCACAUUUUUUCUUUCUGUCUUUUAGCCGGUUUAUAACAGUACUGCAGGAAUAGCCAUGAAAUAAAAACCUGAAUAUACUGAUUUUCCAGACCCAAGGGGAAUUUACAUUAGAAGUGAAGUUAUUAUUUUCUGAAAAGUGGCGUUAUCAUUUCUUUUAAUUCUAUUCCUAUGAUAAUACGAUGUUCCAUGUAAAUUCUCAUGUGCUGGCAUGCCUACGAGUGAAUAGUGUAAUAGAAUGCUCAGCUCUCAACAUUAGAGUGUUUUUAAGGUGAAUCGCAUUACAUAUGCCAUCUCUUUGCAGAAAGAAUAUGGGGUUUGGCAAAGCUACCUGCUGAGCAACAUAAUAAGAUUUUUGUACAAAGUACAAGUUACUGAUUAUUAUUGUAUUUUAUUUUUCUAUGAUUUCCUAAGAGGCAUUAUCAGGUCUUACGGAUGGGGUAAGCCUGUUUAUUAAGAUAUUUAUUAGCAAAUAAAAGUUACGGUACUGGUGGUUAUUUUUGAGUUAAUGGUGUUUGUUUUGCCUUGGUUUACUAAUAUAAUGAUACACAGUGAAGCCUGUCAUACAUGAUCAUGCAAAAGAAAAAAGAAAAAAAAAAACAGCUGCUUAACACAGGGUGGUGUACUAAUAAAGAUGGACCAGCAAUAUGUUCUAACACU
RNAcentral lists this long non-coding RNA (1360 nucleotides) under Gallus gallus (chicken). RNAcentral describes it as "lncRNA (ENSGALG00010008467.1)". Lineage: Eukaryota; Metazoa; Chordata; Aves; Galliformes; Phasianidae. The record is from RNAcentral.